AACGCUAAGAAGCUAAACCGGGCACAGCAUUAGCCUUUUAAGCUAAAGAUUGGUGGCUCCCAACCACCCCUAGC
Molecule: transfer RNA, 74 nt
Filed under: Auxis rochei
Lineage: Eukaryota; Metazoa; Chordata; Actinopteri; Scombriformes; Scombridae
Description: tRNA-Lys
Rfam family: tRNA
About the family: Transfer RNA (tRNA) molecules are approximately 80 nucleotides in length.
Source: RNAcentral